Molecule: long non-coding RNA, 583 nt
Organism: Eucalyptus grandis
Lineage: Eukaryota; Viridiplantae; Streptophyta; Magnoliopsida; Myrtales; Myrtaceae
Exons: 2
Source: RefSeq, a predicted model, not a curated record
CUUCGUAUUAUUGUAAUUUUUAGUUCUGCUCACGGAUAUCACAUAUGCCUUUAUCGAUUUGUUCAUGGCCAUAUUUCAGGACGUACAUGCUCAUCAGGGAUUAUUUGAGAACUAGAUCGGCUUCAUUGGAUUAAAGGAGAAGUUCGCAGGGACCAGCUGGGGAAAGAAAUACCAGUAAUUUACUGCAUAGAAGCUGAAAUUCUGGAUGGCACAAAUCUCAAAAUACAAAUUGGUGGAGAGGCAGCAAACAUUUCUCUUGAUCGGAGAUGAUGGGUUGAUACAAGACUUGACAUUUUCCCCAAGUGGAAAGAACAUACUUUUGUUGUUAAGAAUUGUCUUAAAGCAAUCUCUUGAUCCAACCUGGCUAUGAGAUCUUCCAUGUCUGUUUUUGCUGUAGAUAAACUCUCUUGCGCAGUUGUAAGAACUCUGUUCAACUUAUGCCCCUCUUCCGACGGAAGAGGGACAGCUAAGACCCUUCGAAAACUGUAACCUUGCGGCGGCAGAAUGUUGCGCGCCAGGAAAUUUGGGAUUGUACGUAGUGUUGUUUGCAAUGGGGCUCCUUUGCCACUCACCAUGCUGUUUA